AGCAUAUCAAUAAGCGGAGGAAAAGAAACCAACAGGGAUUGCCCUAGUAACGGCGAGUGAAGCGGCAACAGCUCAAAUUUGAAAUCUGGCGUCUUCGGCGUCCGAGUUGUAAUUUGUAGAGGAUGCUUCUGGGCAGCCACCGGUCUAAGUUCCUUGGAACAGGACGUCAUAGAGGGUGAGAAUCCCGUAUGCGACCGGAAAGGCACCCUCCACGUAGCUCCUUCGACGAGUCGAGUUGUUUGGGAAUGCAGCUCUAAAUGGGAGGUAAAUUUCUUCUAAAGCUAAAUACUGGCCAGAGACCGAUAGCGCACAAGUAGAGUGAUCGAAAGAUGAAAAGCACUUUGGAAAGAGAGUUAAAAAGCACGUGAAAUUGUUGAAAGGGGAGCGUUUGCAACCAGACUUGCUCGCGGUGUUCCGCCGGUCUUCUGACCGGUUCACUCGCCGCGUUGCAGGCCAGCAUCGUCUGGGGCCGCCGGAUAAGACCUUGGUAAUGUAGCCCUCCCCUCGGGGAGGGUGUUAUAGACCAUGUUGAUGCGGCGCGUCCCGGGCGAGGUCCGCGCUUCGGCUAGGAUGCUGGCGUAAUGGUUGUAAACGGCCCGUCU
Molecule: ribosomal RNA, 602 nt
Filed under: uncultured fungus
Lineage: Eukaryota; Fungi
Description: eukaryotic LSU rRNA
Rfam family: Eukaryotic large subunit ribosomal RNA
Source: RNAcentral